GAGGUUAGACGAAACACCAUAAUACGUUAUACAGAAAAAUCGAUACAAUGCAUUUCUCUUCCGGAAGCACGUUCAUUCCGAGAGAUAUCAACGCGUGCCAAACAGGAGAGGAUCUUUGGUCUCGAAAUACUUGGGCUGACGAUUUGAAUUGGCUGAUUGAUCCAGUAGCCCCACAAUUAUUAUCGUCGCGGUUUUCUCAGCGCACACACAUAUCUCGAAAUUAUCUCGUUUAUUUUCUACCUUGCGGUCUCGACAAAGCUACCUACCCUUCGUCGUGCACAAUGGACUGCUUGUCGCGGAACAGAAGUGGAUCUGAGACGGAGUGGACUGAAACCACGAGAUUGAAAAUCGAUUUUCGACCUGGCGACAGAAUAGUCACCCAUUUGCCACGCUUAUUCAAUUAGCGGAAAGGCUUAAUAAGAAUUGGCAGUGCGGUAGUGCCCGUGAGCGGGCAAAUAAAAAGACUACGGACAAAUGAAUAUCAAAUAUUUAUCAAAUAGUGAAUCGUGAGUGAUUAACAAUGAGACGUUCGAUCGAAAGAAAACGCGUGCAGGGAAAUUCCCGGGAGUGCUGAGGCAUUAAUGAACCUCAGUGUACACGGUUUUAUCGGGGCCUAAAACGAUCGUCUAUGCAAAUGUCGUGGCCCAUUAAAGGAAUGGACGAACCGGAACGACCUCCUUCGCCUCGCCUGUUUUUCGCUUCUUGACUUCGCACGCCCUCGGCCUCGGCUAUAUUCGAGCCGGGCGGCGUUGAAUCUACAUUCUAGUGGACUUUGAAGGAGAAGUAAAUCGAAUCAGCGUGAUUGAAAAUCGAUUUUCGAUACGGCACUCAAAAUCAAUCUCUGAGACACCGGCAAAUAAUCCAUUUGUGCUCUUGAUUGACGUCGCCGUUCAAUGUCAACCGUGUAAGAUGUAUACGACCGCUAUUAACGCGACGAUUGGCUCUUUUUUCUCUUUAUCGUUUAUUUACGCUGAUUAUUCCUCUAAUUUGAAGAUUAAUGAAAUAUAAAUCGCACUUUUUUUUCUACGAAAUAUCACGUGAAAGCUGUUUCGUUUACACAAAAUCCGAAGCGUCAGGAAGUCCUAUAAGCGCAAAUGCCACGUCAAGUCGGAUAUAGAAUUUUUCGAGUAUGUUGGAAAAUCGACAUUAUUUUCUUGGUCUGUCAAGUAGGCGGAAGAAGAUAGCAGCCGUAGUAUCGGAAAUCCAUUUCCAAUGUUGCAUCUUGGAUUUGUUUCCUCUAUUUGAACAUUGCCACGACAGCACACGAAUGUGGCAAUUUCCUGAUAAGAUAAUAAUGCUGUGAUUGGAAAGUUUCUCCAAUUUUUUUCAGCGUCAUGAUAGAUUAUAUGAAACAGAGAAACGAAAAGAGAGUACGUCAAAUAUUGAAAUUGAUAUCAUCUUUGAGUAUCUAU
This is an RNA transcript of Wasmannia auropunctata (little fire ant), 1412 nucleotides long. RefSeq lists it as uncharacterized. The transcript has 4 exons. NCBI's taxonomy places the organism in Eukaryota, Metazoa, Arthropoda, Insecta, Hymenoptera, Formicidae. The record is from RefSeq and is a predicted model, not a curated record.